GACGAACGCUGGCGGCGUGCUUAACACAUGCAAGUCGAACGAAGAGCGAUGGAAGCUUGCUUCUAUCAAUCUUAGUGGCGAACGGGUGAGUAACGCGUAAUCAACCUGCCCUUCAGAGGGGGACAACAGUUGGAAACGACUGCUAAUACCGCAUACGAUCCAAUCUCGGCAUCGGGACUGGAUGAAAGGUGGCCUCUAUUUAUAAGCUAUCACUGAAGGAGGGGAUUGUGUCUGAUUAGCUAGUUGGAGGGGUAACGGCCCACCAAGGCGAUGAUCAGUAGCCGGUCUGAGAGGAUGAACGGCCACAUUGGGACUGAGACACGGCCCAGACUCCUACGGGAGGCAGCAGUGGGGAAUCUUCCGCAAUGGACGAAAGUCUGACGGAGCAACGCCGCGUGAGUGAUGACGGCCUUCGGGUUGUAAAGCUCUGUUAAUCGGGACGAAUGGUUCUUGUGCGAAUAGUGCGAGGAUUUGACGGUACCGGAAGAGAAAGCCACGGCUAACUACGUG
Molecule: ribosomal RNA, 510 nt
Filed under: uncultured bacterium
Lineage: Bacteria
Description: partial 16S ribosomal RNA
Rfam family: Bacterial small subunit ribosomal RNA
Source: RNAcentral